ACUGAGAAUUUUGUUUAAAUAUUGCUGUAAGUUUAGCGUAAUUGUUUUUAAGUGACUGUUUAAAAUUCUUGGUUGUAGCUCUAAACUCUACUUCACAAGGGUGGAUGGGACAGAAGAUACAGAUGUUUUCCAAGACCAUGCAGAAACCAGAUCCUGCACUAGGGAGGAAGUGUCUGAGAUGAUUGGCUGGCAGCUGUGUUCUGAAAUGUCAUAUCCUGACCCAGCCAGUGGUUUGGUUUUCCCCCUUCCCGGACCUUUGCGAGUGGUUGUCGCACUAACUAAGCGGGACAGAGGCCUGCAGCAGUACGUUGUGGAAGCUGCAUAUAACUAUAUUCCUCAGGAGAACUCAUGGAUCCCAAAUGAAGCUGUCCUUCGCUUCUUUAUUGGGACUCCAAAGUCAGAUGUGAAAAGGGAUAUUGGUGUUGACCUAAAUUUUAGUGUCCCACAGAAAAAAUUCAGAAUUCAGUUUAUACAACCUAAGAAAAAAAUCGAGAUUGAUG
Molecule: long non-coding RNA, 500 nt
Filed under: Calidris pugnax (ruff)
Lineage: Eukaryota; Metazoa; Chordata; Aves; Charadriiformes; Scolopacidae
Description: lncRNA (ENSCPUG00000016860.1)
Source: RNAcentral